This 253-nucleotide ribosomal RNA is filed under the name uncultured bacterium. RNAcentral describes it as "partial 16S ribosomal RNA". It matches the Rfam family "Bacterial small subunit ribosomal RNA", at positions 524 to 776 of the family's 1533-position model. The record is from RNAcentral.
UACAGAGGUCUCGAGCGUUGUUCGGAUUCAUUGGGCGUAAAGGGCGCGUAGGCGGCGGGGUAAGUCUGGUGUGAAAUCUCGGAGCUCAACUCCGAAAUUGCACUGGAUACUGCUCUGCUAGAGGGCUGGAGAGGAGAUCGGAAUUCACGGUGUAGCAGUGAAAUGCGUACAUAUCGUGAGGAAGACCAGUGGCGAAGGCGGAUCUCUGGACAGCUCCUGACGCUGAGGCGCGAAGGCUAGGGGAGCAAACGGG